GUGUACGUUGCAAAGUACUCAGAAGAAUUGUGGUAAGAAGUGAAAUACAAAUCGGACUAGGAUAUAGCUGGUUUUCUGCGAAAAUUGUUUUGGCAAAUUGUUUAUUUUUUUUCAUUCAUUCAAAGAAUGAAUGUAUAAUAAUAAUAAUAGUGGGUAUAGCACUGAAUACUUUGGGGGAGUAUUAUUAUAUUUAUCUCGGGUAUUUAAUCUCAAAAUAACCAUUUAUUUAUAGGUAAAUAAUCAGACUAUCUGCGAUAAGGUAGAUAGUCAAAAGGGAAACAGCCCAGAACAGUUAUUAAAGCUCCAAAAUUAAUAUUUAGUGAAAUAAAAGUUGUUGGUAGUCUUUUACAGUCAAGAAGUGGGCUUGGAAACAGCCAUC
Molecule: ribosomal RNA, 379 nt
Filed under: Pneumocystis sp. 'macacae'
Lineage: Eukaryota; Fungi; Ascomycota; Pneumocystomycetes; Pneumocystales; Pneumocystaceae
Description: partial large subunit ribosomal RNA
Rfam family: Bacterial large subunit ribosomal RNA
Source: RNAcentral